RNAcentral lists this ribosomal RNA (588 nucleotides) under Triticum aestivum (bread wheat). RNAcentral's name for it is "partial small subunit ribosomal RNA". The record is from RNAcentral. Lineage: Eukaryota; Viridiplantae; Streptophyta; Magnoliopsida; Poales; Poaceae.
AUGCUCGCGCCCCCUUCCAGCGCGGCGGCGCAUGUCAUGCGACGUCAGCUCGUGCUGCUGGGUCAGCUCGGGGCCGUCCGAGCGCGCCUCGAAGCCCGACAGCAGCAGGCUCGCCCCCUCCCCCGCGCGGUACGGGCGCACCGUGAACUGGGCGCCGCAGCCGUCCUCAUCCUCGUCGUCGUCCUCGUACGCGGCGACGGCCCGCUGGCCGUGCAGGCUCCGCGCGCUGCUCAGGUCGAAUUCCCCGAACUCCAUGUCGCCGCCGGCUCCUCGGACGCGUCAUCGUCGACGAACACCACGCGGAGGCGGAACUCGACGCCGGCGAGCCCGCCGACCGCGCCGCACCUCGCCCCGACGCGCUCCGCCGCCCUCCUGGCCUCCGCCGCGACCUCCGGGCGCAGCGUCGGGUUGUCGAGCCUGGCCACGACCCACGAGGCCCGCGAACGCCCGGUCCGCGGCGCCCCGGCGUCCCAGGUCGCGGAGCGGCACGCGGCAGGACACGUCCUACAUCGUGUCCACGUCCACGGGGCCGCCGCCGUAGUCGCAGCAUUGCUCGACGAGCAGCCGGAACGUGACGUCGGGCUGUGA